RNAcentral lists this unclassified non-coding RNA (813 nucleotides) under uncultured fungus. RNAcentral's name for it is "sequence contains 18S rRNA gene, ITS1, 5.8S rRNA gene, ITS2, 28S rRNA gene". The record is from RNAcentral. Lineage: Eukaryota; Fungi.
UGACGCCGCCGACCGACUGCACCGGAACAUUGUCGCUCUCGAGCUCGACGUUGUCGAUCGGACUGCCAUUGGCUGGGGCCUGGCCCCAUGUGACGGUGGCGGUUGCGUUCGAAGCGGUGGCCUGUGGCGUGGGGGGCACGCCCGGCAAGCCGACGACCUCGAGCGUGAUCUGGCCGAUCGCCUGGCCGGCCUCGCUACGACGGGCGUCCUGCACGGUGUACACGAGCCGCGCUGUGCCGAAGAACUCUGCGUUGGGCGUGACGGUGAUCGUCCGCCCGUCCGCGGCGAGCGACGCGUUGGCAGAACCGUCGACGGCGCCGACGUCGACGACCUGCAGGCCGCGGCCGAGUGGGUCGACGUCGUUGGCGAUGACAUCAAGCGACACCGCCACUCCCUGGGUCGUGCGCGCCGAGUCGGCGACCGCGUUCGGAGGUGGAGCGACGGACGGCGUGAUCGCAACGGUGACGGCGGCCUCGGCGGUGGCCCCGGCGCGAUCGAUCACGCGGUAGCGAGCGCUCACGGUUGUGUCGCCGGCAUCGAUCGGAGCGUCGACCGACACGGUGUCGCCGGCGACGGUCAUCCCCGCUGGCGCAUCGAUCAACUCGAAGCCGAGCUGGUCACCGCUGGUCAGGUCUGGAUCGGUGGCGAACGCGCUCAGCGAGACGGUGCCGAUGGUGCCGGCCUCGAUCUGCCCGGUGGCGUCGGUCGCAACCGGCGGACUGUUGGCCGGGGCGAUCACCUUCACCAUCACCGCGCCGGAGACGACGUGACCGUGCUGGUCGUCGGCGGUGUACGAGAACCCGGCCUCGCCCG